RNAcentral lists this ribosomal RNA (556 nucleotides) under uncultured Glomus. Its description in RNAcentral is "SSU rRNA". It matches the Rfam family "Eukaryotic small subunit ribosomal RNA", at positions 539 to 1098 of the family's 1831-position model. The record is from RNAcentral. Lineage: Eukaryota; Fungi; Glomeromycota; Glomeromycetes; Glomerales; Glomeraceae.
UCGGCUUUUGGAGGGCAAGUCCGGUGCCAGCAGCCGCGGUAAUUCCAGCUCCAAUAGCGUAUAUUAAAGUUGUUGCAGUUAAAAAGCUCGUAGUUGAAUUUCGGGGUUAGUAGGUUGGUCAUGCCUCUGGUAUGUACUGGUCUCACUGAUUCCUCCUUCCUGAUGAGCCGUAAUGCCAUUAAUUUGGUGUUGCGGGGAAUUUGGACUGUUACUUUGAAAAAAUUAGAGUGUUUAAAGCAAGCUAACGCUUGAAUACAUUAGCAUGGAAUAAUGAAAUAGGACGUUCGAUCCUAUUUUGUUGGUUUCUAGGAUUGACGUAAUGAUUAAUAGGGAUAGUUGGGGGCAUUAGUAUUCAAUUGUCAGAGGUGAAAUUCUUGGAUUUAUUGAAGACUAACUACUGCGAAAGCAUUUGCCAAGGAUGUUUUCAUUAAUCAAGAACGAAAGUUAGGGGAUCGAAGACGAUCAGAUACCGUCGUAGUCUUAACCAUAAACUAUGCCGACUAGGGAUCGGAUGAUGUUAAUUUUUUAAUGACUCAUUCGGCGCCUUACGGGAAAC